Molecule: ribosomal RNA, 483 nt
Filed under: Triticum aestivum (bread wheat)
Lineage: Eukaryota; Viridiplantae; Streptophyta; Magnoliopsida; Poales; Poaceae
Description: rRNA SSU_rRNA_eukarya
Rfam family: Bacterial small subunit ribosomal RNA
Source: RNAcentral
UGCACGGCUGUCGUCAGCUCGUGUCGUGAGAUGUUUGGUCAAGUCCUAUAACGAGCGAAACCCUCGUUUUGUGUUGCUGAGACAUGCGCCUAAGGAGAAAUUGCCACCGAGUGACGUGCCAGCGCUACUACUUGAUUGAGUGCCAGCACGUAGCUGUGCUUUCAGCAAGAAUUUCACCAUUGGGAGCCGGUGCCUUUCGAAGCACUUUCACGUGUGAACCGAAGUCGUCUUGCCCAAGACCCACGGAGACCUACCUAUAGUGACGUCAAAGUACCAGUGAGCAUGGAGGUUUGGUUGAAAUUGAUUACGACGACGUCGAGUUGGCGGCGGAGGAAGACUCGGCAUGAAGGCCAGAAAAUGGUGUGGAACGUAGUGGUAAUAGUACGCGCCCCGCUCCGAAACAAAGAAAAAGGUGCGUGCCGCACUCACGAGGGACUGCCAGUGAGAUACUGGAGGAAGGUGGGGAUGACAUCAAGUCCGAUG